GGCGUAUAUCUUGUAUUGUAAGGGAUACUAAAUGCUCACUAUGAGCUCUUCUGCCACUUUACACUACAUACCACUCGAUCUUAAAUACUUAUAACAAUACAAAUUUAAUGUACCAGUUAACAUUUAUUCAGUUAAAUACUUUAAUUGUAUAGAUCUCAAUGACUAAUGUUCUCAUUAAAUUUUGUAGUUGACAAUAAUAAUUUUAGGAUUGGUCUAACAGCUGAAUUCAUAACACUCAAUCUAACAGAGUGAGGUUUGAGUCAAUAAUUAAGCUCUCAACCCCCUUACCUAAUGCAUUUCAAAAUAUAUAAUAUCUCAAUAAUAACAAAACAAGAAGCCAUUAAGAAAAACAACAUAAAGUAAAAAAGAAAGCAAUAGAUGUGUCCUGCAUAGAAAACCUACUUUUAAUGUAGGAAUUUAAUUCUCCAAGAUUCUCGAUCCCUCAAGAUGAGCACAAAUAAAAAAAUGAAUGAUCAACUUGUGAAAAAAUUCGAUACUCUGAAAUUGUAACGAUGAUAUAGAUUGCUUAAAAAAACUUUUAAUGUGCAAAUUUGAAGGGAUCGAAUAUAUUUAUUGAAUAAUGAGGUGGAGAAGGUCCCAAAAUUAAUAUGAAUCGCAAAGAAUGAGAAAGAACCUCUUACCUGUCUUGGCUACCUUCACCGCCGACCAUUUUCUUUGCUGUAUCUUCAGCCCAUAAGAACAAGAAGUAGCGGCAGUACAAACCUUGCAAGGAAAUUGUCGUGUAUUUUCAUGAGAAUCUUUAUGAUGAAACAAUGCUGCUAAUGCUAACUUUACCACAUUAGCAAGCCAAUCUCAUUUUGGAAAACAUACACUACUGUUUCAUGAGCCCAUUACCCUACACAACAACUUUCC
RNAcentral lists this unclassified non-coding RNA (873 nucleotides) under Hevea brasiliensis (rubber tree). Lineage: Eukaryota; Viridiplantae; Streptophyta; Magnoliopsida; Malpighiales; Euphorbiaceae. The record is from RNAcentral.